GGGAUCGUGGCGCAGUUGGCUAGCGCGUAGGUCUCAUAGCUAUAACAUCUGGCGAUAUAAAAGCGUCUUUGUCACAGCAUAUGACCUGAAAAAGGGCAAUCCUAAGGUCGUGAGUUCGAGCCUCACCGAUCCCA
Molecule: transfer RNA, 134 nt
Rfam family: tRNA
About the family: Transfer RNA (tRNA) molecules are approximately 80 nucleotides in length.
Source: Rfam